CCUACGGGGGGCUGCAGUGGGGAAUAUUGGACAAUGGGGGAAACCCUGAUCCAGCAAUGCCGCGUGUGUGAAGAAGGCCUGCGGGUUGUAAAGCACUUUCGGUUGGGAAGAAAAGUUUGGCGCCAAUACCGCCGAACCUUGACGUUACUGACAGAAGAAGCACCGGAUAACUCUGUGCCAGCAGCCGCGGUAAUACAGAGGGUGCAAGCGUGAGUCGGAAUGGCGGAGGGGGUCACGUACGUAGGGUGUCAAAUCCCCGGGCUUAACCUGGUAACUGCAUUCGAUACUACAUGGCUAGAGUAUGGUAGAGGGAAGUGGAAUUUCCGGUGUAGCGGUGAAAUGCGUAGAUAUCGGAAGGAACACCAAUGGCGAAGGCAGCUUCCUGGACUAAUACUGACACUGAGGCACGAAAGCGUGGGUAGCAAACAGGAUUAGAUACCCCUGUAGUC
This 449-nucleotide ribosomal RNA is filed under the name uncultured bacterium. RNAcentral describes it as "partial 16S ribosomal RNA". It matches the Rfam family "Bacterial small subunit ribosomal RNA", at positions 338 to 795 of the family's 1533-position model. The record is from RNAcentral.